Long non-coding RNA from Hyaena hyaena (striped hyena), 3876 nucleotides. RefSeq lists it as uncharacterized. The transcript is spliced from 7 exons. NCBI's taxonomy places the organism in Eukaryota, Metazoa, Chordata, Mammalia, Carnivora, Hyaenidae. The record is from RefSeq and is a predicted model, not a curated record.
UCUGUGUGGCCCUGAGGAUCGAGGAGAGGUAGAGAGAAGCUGAAGAAGCCAUUGACUUGUGAAGAAAGAUUAGACUAGGUAUUUGCAGGAAGUUUCCUGACGCUAAGAGGAGGAAAACAACAAUAACAACAGUGGCCAGAGACUGUCUCCUGAAAAUGUGCAGGCAGGAUAAUGUGGAGGCCAAGACAAAAGUGUGAUGCUCUCCAGCCGUGCCUCAGAACAGGAGCUGAUGAUGACAGUGAGCUGUUGCUAUUUCUCUUCCAAGGUUGUUUCAAUAUGCAAAAUUUUCCCCUUUCUUGGUUCACUUGGUUGUCUUAGUGAAGCACAUAUUCAGUAACUUCUUGGAUCCGUGGGAGUGGAUGUAUCUGAGCAGCAGUGAUCUGAUCUUCAAUAGGACAUUCUCCCUCUAGAUCUCAAUUUCAUCAUUACUGCCAUGAUGGUUUUGGAUUACUUAUAAGGUUUCUCAUGGAAGCCAUGUGUUAAAGAUACUGGAACCACAAAACAGUAGGAAACUUGGUCCCUGAAUCACAUCUUGGAGGAGAGCUUUGUGCCCGUUAGGAACUGUCCUUCUGGAUUUUCUGAGGUCUGUGAGUGGGAAAUUCUCUUAGUCUUCGUUUGAAAAUGCCUUUAUCCUCACCUUUGAAUGCUAGUUUAACUGGAUGGAGAAUUUCAGAUUAAUGGAUAUUUCCCCCCACUGUUUUGAGGAUAUUGUUCCAUUAUCCUCCAGCAUCUACUGCUUGUAAGAAGAAGCCAGCUUUGUCCAUAUAUCAUUCUUUGUAGGUAGUGUGACUUUUGCACUCAUUCUAAACAUUCCUAGAAACCAGGUAAAAAUUACAAAUGAAAGUCCCCAUACAACAUGUCUUAAAAUUUUUAAGUUCAAAAACAAGCUAUCAACUUAUUAAAUGAAAUAUAUUCUAUCCUCUUAUCUUGAUAAAGAUACCUUUUUAAGGACCUGGAUGACCAAGCCUUGAAUUUAGGACUCUUAGAAUCCUUGAGAUGGUAGGGAGAGAUCACCAUCUUGGUUCCUGCCUCACAGCUCACCCUCCAUGUUUUCCAGUCUGGGCUUCAUCCCACACUUCAAGGGGCUUCACACACAUACUUGUGGACACUCCACUUCCAAGCCCUACAAACAGCCACUUCCCAGACACCCCGUGGCCCAAAGGGUGUGCAGUCUGUUCUUGGGGGUUGGAUAUAGGGAAGAAGCUCAUGAAGGUCCUGAAAGUGGGUUGGAUCUGUUUGGGCAGGGAAUGCUAGGGUCCUUUGUCCCUGGAACGUUGUUUGGAGGAAAAGGGCAAACUUUGGGUUACGCUUCUUGACAUUGCGAUAGCCUCCUUAAUGGCUUCCUCCCAUCCAAUCUGUUCUCUACACUGUAUUAGAGAGAAUUUUAUUUUAAUGUAAGCCACAGCAUUAUACUAUCCCCUAAAAAAUCCUUUAAAGACUUCCUAUUGCAUUUGAAAUAAAAUCCUUUAAAAGGCUGCAAAGCUCUAAGUGGUACUUCAGUGUGCCAAGCUCUUUGGGAAGAGCCUUCAUCUAAGAUGUUUCUCUUUCUGAAACACACUUUCCUACCUGCUCCUCGCAUGGUUGACGUCAGUCUGUUGUAUCGCUCCUGGCUUAACUGCCACCUCCUCUCCAAGUACAGCUUCCCUGUUAUUUGCUUUCACUGCAUUUUGUUUACUUCCUUCAGAGUACAAACAACAAAUGUAGUCACCUAUUUUUUCCCCAUACUGUCAUCUACACAAGAGAGACUGUCACAUAUGAGUCAAUUCUGAGAUGGAGAUUAGCACAUAGUAAGUUACUUGGGAGUACUCUACUCAACCCCUGUUGAACAAAAGAAAGUAGGAUGGGGCAGCAAUCAGGCAGUGGAUGCUGGCUGCCCAAAAAGAGGCCUGACUUUGGGUAAAGUAAAAUUCUCUUCAGCCAAAGUGCUUCCUUAAGAGGGCUGACAGCUUUGUUCUGGAUUAGGCAGCAUAGCACCCAAAUAAAUGGUCCAUGGCUUGUGCAGAUCUGUUUUCCUUACAUGACUUCUGGAAGUAGCUUCUGCAGAAUUCUGGCAGACUUGUUCUGUGGGGAAAACUUAUAAAAAGAAGGUUGGUAAGGGGAACCACCCCCUGUUAUUGCAGCUGGUAUUAGCCUGCAACCAAUACUCACCCUCUCUUCUGUGGUCCAUUCUAGAUGCUCUUCACUCUUGAUGAACAGUGCUGAAGGCUUAGGUGACUUGCCUAGUGGAGUGACAGAUUCUUAAAACUGAUGAGUUCCAGUUCCUGUUUAUCAUGUCCUUCUCAGGCUGCACCUGCUACGUCUGUCCAUUUGCCAUCAAAAUUGCACAAGUACUAAAAGAUGUCCUGGUUGAUUACCUGGUGAAAAUGAAGAUCUUUUUCUUGCCUGCUGGUCUUUGGCAUGAAGGGCUCAAAGUACUGGGUGGUGAUAUAGUUUAAAGUUCAUUGAAGACUCUUGUUGUGCUCUCUGGUAGAAAUGUUUUGCCUUUGGGAACUAAGACCUUUAAACCUGUGGUUACACUUGUGAGGAUGAAAAGCAUAAAUUCCUCAAGUGGGUCACUCGGAUUGAUGGUACAUAGGGACGCUCCUGCUUCCAUACCUUUGAUUCCACUCCCAGUUAUUCUCCUAUGAGGGAUACAGCAUCAUAUAAUUGUGAUUGAUAUAGAGCAUGACUGUUUCUGGAAGGUAGCACUUUAUCCUCACAGGGUAUCAUCUCCAAGAUGGUAGUUUAACCAAGCUUUCUGGUGGUAUGCCAUGUGAUAGGUCCAAUGGUGUCUAUGGUCAUAUGCCCACUGCUACAUUUACUUUGCUAUGUAGUGGGUUCCUUGGUCAGAUGCAGCAAUAUGUGCGAUGCCAUAAAGGUGGAUCAAAUACAGUAUAAUCCCUUGGAUAGUCAUGUUGGCUGAGACUCAGCAGACAGGAAAGACAAUCUAUAGAAUAUGUGUCUAUUUAUGUUAAAGUGAAUGACUACUUCAUCCAGGGAGAAGGAGUCCGAUAUGGUCGCCUUUUCACCAAGUGGCUGUUUGGUGUCUUCAAGACAUAGUGCAGUAAUGAGUCUCAGCAAUAGUUCCUGUUACUGGCAGGUUGAUCACUUGGCUUUGGGAUUAACCUUAGUGAGUGGGAGUUCAUGCUGGUGGGCCCAAGAAUAGCCUUCCUCCUUGUUACCAUGUCUUCUCUAUUCAUGAAUCUAUUGUGCCAGUACUGGGGUGGCUGAUGGAAAAGCUGGCUGGUGCCAACUGGUUAAGUCAUUCUACUUGGGUGUUUAAUGCCUCUUCAAUGGUAGGUGCUCUCAGAACCUGUGAAGGAAAGGGACGGAAGCAAGACUGGGCAGAAAGAGAAAAUGGGCUUCAGUACUUCACAGCCAGGCCUCAGCCAACCCUGUGGGAAGUUCGAAGCUGGGAUGAUUCUUUGGAAUCUUCCCUUGUUGAGGUAACAUCAUCUUCAAUAUUCCAAACCGAUGAGAAUAUUUUUACUAUCCCCCUCAGCACUGUGGUGUCAUUCCAAGAAGUCACCAGGAUACAUUCUAAUAUCCAGAGGAUCAAUUCUGCUUCACAGUGAAUUGCAUCCAAAAUUCUAGCUCCCUGGAAGACAAAAGACCUCAUAACUCCUGUCAGAAGCCGGUGGCUUCCUAAAUGAACCAUGUUGCUCCUGAUGGUGUUACCAUUGCUAACAAUAAAAGUGUAUUACUUUUAUGCGGAAGGUGAUCUUAUGUAGGAGUGACAUAGCACUCACGAGAGGUGCUGUGCUUGGAAUGGUCUCAUGCUGGUCUAGGGGCAGAGUGGGCUUAUCUCUUGAUGCCAUCUGUUCAGCAUAGCAUCUGCCUGAAUGCAGAGGAAGAAAUCAAUCAGCACAGUACUUUACUACUUUCCUUCAUUUAGCC